GGGAUGGGACGGCUGCUGAUACUGCAGUCGAGCGAACGGACGAGAAGCUUGCUUCUCUGAUGUUAGCGGCGGACGGGUGAGUAACACGUGGAUAACCUACCUAUAAGACUGGGAUAACUUCGGGAAACCGGAGCUAAUACCGGAUAAUAUUUUGAACCGCAUGGUUCAAAAGUGAAAGACGGUCUUGCUGUCACUUAUAGAUGGAUCCGCGCUGCAUUAGCUAGUUGGUAAGGUAACGGCUUACCAAGGCAACGAUGCAUAGCCGACCUGAGAGGGUGAUCGGCCACACUGGAACUGAGACACGGUCCAGACUCCUACGGGAGGCAGCAGUAGGGAAUCUUCCGCAAUGGGCGAAAGCCUGACGGAGCAACGCCGCGUGAGUGAUGAAGGUCUUCGGAUCGUAAAACUCUGUUAUUAGGGAAGAACAUAUGUGUAAGUAACUGUGCACAUCUUGACGGUACCUAAUCAGAAAGCCACGGCUAACUACGUGCCAGCAGCCGCGGUAAUACGUAGGUGGCAAGCGUUAUCCGGAAUUAUUGGGCGUAAAGCGCGCGUAGGCGGUUUUUUAAGUCUGAUGUGAAAGCCCACGGCUCAACCGUGGAGGGUCAUUGGAAACUGGAAAACUUGAGUGCAGAAGAGGAAAGUGGAAUUCCAUGUGUAGCGGUGAAAUGCGCAGAGAUAUGGAGGAACACCAGUGGCGAAGGCGACUUUCUGGUCUGUAACUGACGCUGAUGUGCGAAAGCGUGGGGAUCAAACAGGAUUAGAUACCCUGGUAGUCCACGCCGUAAACGAUGAGUGCUAAGUGUUAGGGGGUUUCCGCCCCUUAGUGCUGCAGCUAACGCAUUAAGCACUCCGCCUGGGGAGUACGACCGCAAGGUUGAAACUCAAAGGAAUUGACGGGGACCCGCACAAGCGGUGGAGCAUGUGGUUUAAUUCGAAGCAACGCGAAGAACCUUACCAAAUCUUGACAUCCUUUGACAACUCUAGAGAUAGAGCCUUCCCCUUCGGGGGACAAAGUGACAGGUGGUGCAUGGUUGUCGUCAGCUCGUGUCGUGAGAUGUUGGGUUAAGUCCCGCAACGAGCGCAACCCUUAAGCUUAGUUGCCAUCAUUAAGUUGGGCACUCUAAGUUGACUGCCGGUGACAAACCGGAGGAAGGUGGGGAUGACGUCAAAUCAUCAUGCCCCUUAUGAUUUGGGCUACACACGUGCUACAAUGGGAAAAUACAAAGGGGAGCGAAACCCGGGAGGUCAAGCAAAUCCCUAAAAGUUUGUCCCAAGUCCGAAUGGGAGUCUGGGACUCCGUCCACUUGAAAACUGGGAACCCCUUGAAAUCUUAAAACCACCAGGCCACGGGGAAAACAUUCCUCGGGGUUUGGACAACCCGCUCGUCACACCCCCAAGAGUUUGAAGCCCCAAACCCGGGAGGAAACUUUUUGAGAAUUCCCUCACAAGGGGCAAAUUUGGAGAGUGGGAUGAGCACACCAGG
RNAcentral lists this ribosomal RNA (1486 nucleotides) under Staphylococcus sp. SK5. Its description in RNAcentral is "bacterial SSU rRNA". It matches the Rfam family "Bacterial small subunit ribosomal RNA". Lineage: Bacteria; Bacillati; Bacillota; Bacilli; Caryophanales; Staphylococcaceae. The record is from RNAcentral.